AUUGAACGCUGGCGGCAGGCCUAACACAUGCAAGUCGAGCGGAUGAAGGGAGCUUGCUCCUGGAUUCAGCGGCGGACGGGUGAGUAAUGCCUAGGAAUCUGCCUGGUAGUGGGGGAUAACGUCCGUAAACGGGCGCUAAUACCGCAUACGUCCUGAGGUAGAAAGUGGGGGAUCUUCGGACCUCACGCUAUCAGAUGAGCCUAGGUCGGAUUAGCUAGUUGGUGGGGUAAAGGCCUACCAAGGCGACGAUCCGUAACUGGUCUGAGAGGAUGAUCAGUCACACUGGAACUGAGACACGGUCCAGACUCCUACGGGAGGCAGCAGUGGGGAAUAUUGGACAAUGGGCGAAAGCCUGAUCCAGCCAUGCCGCGUGUGUGAAGAAGGUCUUCGGAUUGUAAAGCACUUUAAGUUGGGAGGAAGGGCAGUAAGUUAAUACCUUGCUGUUUUGACGUUACCAACAGAAUAAGCACCGGCUAACUUCGUG
Molecule: ribosomal RNA, 484 nt
Filed under: uncultured bacterium
Lineage: Bacteria
Description: partial 16S ribosomal RNA
Rfam family: Bacterial small subunit ribosomal RNA
Source: RNAcentral